This 254-nucleotide ribosomal RNA is filed under the name uncultured bacterium. Its description in RNAcentral is "partial 16S ribosomal RNA". It matches the Rfam family "Bacterial small subunit ribosomal RNA", at positions 524 to 776 of the family's 1533-position model. The record is from RNAcentral.
UACGGAGGAUCCAAGCGUUAUCCGGAAUCAUUGGGUUUAAAGGGUCCGUAGGCGGUUUGGUAAGUCAGUGGUGAAAGCCCAUCGCGUCAACGGUGGAACGGCCAUUGAUACUGCCAGACUUGAAUUAUUAGGAAGUAACUAGAAUAUGUAGUGUAGCGGUGAAAUGCUUAGAGAUUACAUGGAAUACCAAUUGCGAAGGCAGGUUACUACUAAUGGAUUGACGCUGAUGGACGAAAGCGUGGGUAGCGAACAGG